ACGCGGUGGGCGGGGAGAAGGGCGGGGCCGCGGCAGUGCAGGUGAAUGGGAGGGGGCGUGGUUAGAGGCGGAAGUGGGCGGGGCCAGGGGCCCACACCUGCCAUGGCCGCCGUGGCGCGCUGCUGGCGCUGCUGGCGCCCGUGGCCGCCAUCCCGGUGACCGUCCCGCAGUCGCGUUACGUGGCGCUGCUGUUCCAGCCCGUCCUGCUCCGCUGUCACUUCCCCCCGGUGUCACCCGACGUGCCCCCCCCCCAUCGUCACCUGGAAGUUCAAGUCCGUCUGUCCCCAACGCGGGGACAACGGGGACGUCGGGGACGGGGACAACGGCGACUGUCCCCAGCGCACCGUGCGCAUCGUGGCCACCAAACAGGGGGACACGGUGACGCUGGGGGACGCCUACAGGGGACGGGGCGUCACCAUACAAGGAGGUGCUGACCUGAGCCUGGGGGCGGCCGCGUGGGGGGACAGCGGCACCUACGUGUGCACGGUGACAUCGACCGGGGACCUGAGCGGGGACAACGAGGGACACACCGACCUGCUGGUGCUGGCGUCACUCUGGGGGGUCACUGACCUCUUGCUGGGACUGCCAGGUAGGGGACCCAGGCAUCCGGGAGG
Long non-coding RNA from Columba livia (rock pigeon), 614 nucleotides. RefSeq lists it as uncharacterized. NCBI's taxonomy places the organism in Eukaryota, Metazoa, Chordata, Aves, Columbiformes, Columbidae. The record is from RefSeq and is a predicted model, not a curated record. The transcript is spliced from 4 exons.